This 1263-nucleotide long non-coding RNA is filed under the name Olea europaea (common olive). Its description in RNAcentral is "long non-coding RNA (OEUR_LNC006431)". Lineage: Eukaryota; Viridiplantae; Streptophyta; Magnoliopsida; Lamiales; Oleaceae. The record is from RNAcentral.
UACAAUAUAUGAUGCUUCAGUUUCAAUUUUUAUGCAGACUACUCUUUUUUCUUUCAUAACGUACGAACCAUCGUAUUUUCCAUUCCCCUGGACCAGGGUUCCUUUAGUCGUAAAAUUAGGCACGUUUUGAAGUUUAUUAGUUUUCAAUGCUGUCUCAUGAUCGACUUCUAUAAUUCGUAGCUUGUGAAAAUUUCUGAUUUUUGUGCUUACCUGAUAUUAAUAUAGUGAAUUACAUACUUUAUGCAAAAUACUCUCAUAACGUACAAACCAUCGUGUUUUCCAUUCCCUUGGAACAGGGUUCUUUUUGUGGUAAAGUUAAGCACGUUUUGAAGUUUAUUAGUUCUCAAUGCUGCCUCAUGAUCGACUUCUAUAAUGCGUAGCUUGUGAAAGUUUCUGAUUUUUGUGCUUUCCUGAUAUUAGUAUAUUGAAAUACAUUUAUGAUUUCAUAGUAUUUGUAUACCAUCCUUGUGCUUUCUGAAUUGCUUUUCUACGUUAAGGUAUAAUGUAUAAGAUACUACACGAAAUAAAGAAAACUGGAUCCCUUUUUAUUUGUUUCCAGUUAUUUUUGGUGAUGACACUAAAUUUAGGUUUAAACAGGGGAUCCAUCUAUUGAGUCUGUUUGCACGGGAUUACUUUUUCCCUGCCUUUUUAUGUUCUUCUGCCCCUAGCCUGUCUAUAUCUUUGACAUCGGUGAUUACCUUCAAAAUUAAUGCAAAUAAUGUUGGGCUGUUGGCUGGUCUUAUAUUAGUUGAUUUUGUUAGCUUGCUCACAUCAUACCUAUCGUCAUUAACUAGAGAUGCUUCAAGUAUAAAAUUUUUCAUUAAGAAAUAUGGUGUAGAUAAGAUGCAUAAAAGCUGAGCCUAGCACUGACAGAUUUGAUGGUGAAGAGAGAUGCUUAUUGCAUAGAAAUUAAUAAUUACACUAAUGGGUAUCCUAGAUGAGCGUCUGACAUUAAUGGAUUCCAAUGGUUUGCUGCUAUUGUGAGAUAAAUGUGGCUGUGAUUCGUGGGAGUCAUUUGCAGUAUCAUUUAUGACUGCAACAGGUGGUGUAUCAGAUAAAUGAUAGCUGGGUGUAUCAACUGGAAAUUUUGGUAAUACAAUGUUAGGAAAUGGAUCAAUGAAGUCUGAAUUUUGGGAAAUGGAAUGGAAAGGAAAAACUUGUUCAUGAAAUAUAACAUCUUUGGAAAUUAGAAAGGUUUUAGACACAAUAUCAUAAAGUCUAUAUCCUUUUAUUCCUGGGGGAUAACCAAGGAAGAUACAAGCC